UCCGGUGUCAAUGCGCUUAGGGGAAACACCUGUUCCCAUCCCGAACACGACGGUUAAGACCUAAGCGGCCGAUGGUACUGCAUUGGAGACGAUGUGGGAGAGCAGGUGGGCGCCGGAU
This 118-nucleotide ribosomal RNA is filed under the name Blautia faecis. The record is from RNAcentral. Lineage: Bacteria; Bacillati; Bacillota; Clostridia; Lachnospirales; Lachnospiraceae.